RNAcentral lists this ribosomal RNA (466 nucleotides) under uncultured bacterium. RNAcentral describes it as "partial 16S ribosomal RNA". It matches the Rfam family "Bacterial small subunit ribosomal RNA", at positions 29 to 507 of the family's 1533-position model. The record is from RNAcentral.
ACGAACGCUGGCGGCGUGCUUAACACAUGCAAGUCGAACGCUGACGACCGAGCUUGCUCGGUCUGAUUAGUGGCGAACGGGUGAGUAACACGUGAGCAACCUGCCCUUCACUCUGGGAUAACCUCGGGAAAUCGGGGCUAAUACCGGAUAUGAGCUCCUGUCGCAUGGCGGGUGUUGGAAGGUUUUUCGGUGAAGGAUGGGCUCGCGGCCUAUCAGUUUGUUGGUGAGGUAGUGGCUCACCAAGGCGAUGACGGGUAGCCGGCCUGAGAGGGCGACCGGCCACACUGGGACUGAGACACGGCCCAGACUCCUACGGGAGGCAGCAGUGGGGAAUAUUGCACAAUGGGCGAAAGCCUGAUGCAGCGACGCCGCGUGAGGGAUGACGGCCUUCGGGUUGUAAACCUCUUUCAGCAGGGAAGAAGCGAAAGUGACGGUACCUGCAGAAGAAGCGCCGGCUAACUACGUG